RNAcentral lists this long non-coding RNA (1549 nucleotides) under Sus scrofa (pig). RNAcentral's name for it is "lncRNA (ENSSSCG00000041884.1, ENSSSCG00105005641.1)". Lineage: Eukaryota; Metazoa; Chordata; Mammalia; Artiodactyla; Suidae. The record is from RNAcentral.
GGCCGCAUCUGCAGCACAUGGAAGUUCCUUGGCUAGGGGUCUAAUUGAAGGUACAGCUGCCAGCCUGCACCAUAGCUCACCGCAACCCGGGCUUCCUAACCCACUGAGCAAGGCCAGGGAUGGAACCCACAUCCUCAUAGAUACUAAUCGUGCUAAUUACCUCGGAGCCACAGUGGGAACUUCCUGGGGGAGGGGUCUUAAACAUUACCCCCCCCCAGCCGCCGCCCAGUUCCACGCAAACUGCGCACAGGUGGGAGCCUCUCUUUUUCAAUGUCAAGAAAGUCACCAGGAACCUGCACCUGACAUGCCUAACCCAUAAAUGCGCACCAGAGGGCAGUAUAAACCAAGACAUGGGAAACAAAAUGUGGCGGGCGAUUACUGCUGCCUUCAGGCUGAGACGUCUAAGGGCCUCAUACAAAGAGGGCGCUGGGGCUAUGGGCAUUGAGUGGACUACAGAUGCACCGCCGUUUUGAAAUCCUUCAUUGGUAGGCAGAGGGGCAAAGAUGGAUGAGAGGGAGCCUUAGUACCUUAGAACCCACUAUUACCACCAGUCCCAAAUCCUCAAAGGGCCUCCACAUCAGCUCAGUUCAGGAAAGAGUUACCAAGAACCUCUUAUGUGCUAGGUGCUGUUCCAGGGAUUCCAUACGCAGUAACACCUAGUCCCUUCCCCAGUAGAGCACCUAUAAUAGGUCAAUGUCUUUACAUUCAUUAUCGUUAUUUAAUUCUUAUGACAGUAAAGUGCUGUAAGAAGAAUCAUCCCGGGUGUUCCCUUCAUGGCUCAGUGGCAACGAACCUGACUAGUAUCCAUGAGGAUGUGGGUUUGAUCCCUGGCCUCACUCAGUGGGUUAAGGAUCCGGCAUUGGCGUGAGCUGUGGUGUAGGUCGCAGAUGUGGCUCAGAUCCCGCGUUGUUGUAGCUGUGGUAUAGGCCAGCAGCUGCAGUUCCAAUUCAACCCCUAGCCUGGGAACUUCCAUGUGCCAUGGGUGAGACCCUAAAAAAAGUCUUUCUAGAUUCAGAGCUGGGGCCCUCACCCCUGUGAGUCUUGUUAGCACGUGCUCUUGGUAAGGAGAUCCCUUUAUGAUCUUAGUACCAGCUGGGCUGGCUCCAUUCUCUUCACAGGCGGCCACACUGCCCAGGAAAGGCCCAGGUGUCCCCCGAAGCUCUUGGCUUGGAUUUCAGAGUAGCAUUGUUUUUAAAUGCCUAAGAUUCUUUUUUUUUUUACCUUUUAGGGCCUCACCUGUGGCAUAUAUGGAAAGUCCCAAGCUAGGGGUCAAAUUGGAGCUGUAGCAGCUGGCCUACACCACAGCUACAGCAAUGUGGGAUCCGAGCCACAUCUGCAACUUACACCAUAGCUCACAGCAAUGCCAGAUGCUUAACCCACUGAGCAAAGCCAGGGAAUGAACCUGCAUUCUCAUGGAUUCUAGUCAGAUUUGUUUCCACUGUGCCAUGAAGGGAACUCCCCUAAGAUUUUAAAAUAUAUUUAACAUGAAGUUUGCAUUGUGGUUCAGUGGGUUAAGAACCUGACAUAUUGUCCAUGAGGAUAUGGGUUC